GACGAACGCUGGCGGCGUGCCUAAUACAUGCAAGUCGAACGAAGCUGUUUUAACUGGUGCUUGCACCGACUUAAACAACUGAGUGGCGAACGGGUGAGUAACACGUGGGUAACCUGCCCCAAAGCGGGGGAUAACAUUUGGAAACAGAUGCUAAUACCGCAUAACCACAGAAACCACAUGGUUUCUGUGUCAAAGAUGGUUUCGGCUAUCACUUUAGGAUGGACCCGCGGCGUAUUAGCUAGUUGGUAAGGUAAUGGCUUACCAAGGCAAUGAUACGUAGCCGAACUGAGAGGUUGAUCGGCCACAUUGGGACUGAGACACGGCCCAAACUCUUACGGGAGGCAGCAGUAGGGAAUCUUCCAAAAUGGACGAAAGUCUGAUGGAGCAACGCCGCGUGAGUGAAGAAGGUUUUCGGAUCGUAGAACUCUGUUGUCAGAGAAGAACGUGUGCGAGAGUAACUGCUCGUGCAGUGACGGUAUCUGGCCAGAAAGCCACGGCUAACUACGUGCCAGCAGCCGCCGCAG
RNAcentral lists this ribosomal RNA (524 nucleotides) under uncultured bacterium. RNAcentral describes it as "partial 16S ribosomal RNA". It matches the Rfam family "Bacterial small subunit ribosomal RNA", at positions 28 to 523 of the family's 1533-position model. The record is from RNAcentral.